RNAcentral lists this ribosomal RNA (202 nucleotides) under uncultured Bacillota bacterium. RNAcentral describes it as "uncultured Firmicutes bacterium partial 16S ribosomal RNA". It matches the Rfam family "Bacterial small subunit ribosomal RNA", at positions 289 to 508 of the family's 1533-position model. The record is from RNAcentral. Lineage: Bacteria; Bacillati; Bacillota.
GACCUGAGAGGGUGACCGGCCACAUUGGGACUGAGACACGGCCCAAACUCCUACGGGAGGCAGCAGUGGGGAAUAUUGCACAAUGGGGGAAACCCUGAUGCAGCGACGCCGCGUGAAGGAUGAAGUAUUUCGGUAUGUAAACUUCUAUCAGCAGGGAAGAAAAUGACGGUACCUGACUAAGAAGCCCCGGCUAACUACGUGC